Long non-coding RNA from Astatotilapia calliptera (eastern happy), 2335 nucleotides. The record is from Ensembl. NCBI's taxonomy places the organism in Eukaryota, Metazoa, Chordata, Actinopteri, Cichliformes, Cichlidae.
GCCUCCUAUUACACAACACCUUUCAGUCUUUAUUUUGCAAUCUGCACAUUAUAUGAAACGUUACCUGCACUUCGCAAGUCUUCGAGAUUUCCAGGACGCCGUUUGUCAGAGCACAGAAGGACGUUUUUUGGUUUCCUCUUCUGUUUGCCACCCUUGUAACAAUCCAAAGUCUUCAUUUGUUUUAAAAAACAAAGCUGAUCUGGAAAGGACACCAAAUAUGUCUGCAGUUUCUGGUUAUUAGCAGGAAGUGUACUCCUUCAGAGGAGCAUUAGUGUGGACUUUGUUAUUAUGUAACUUGCGGUGAAACGGUUUACAAGGUGAUCACAGAGGGGAGGGGAAGCGAUCUUGCACUUUUUCACUGCAGGGUCAAAACCCCUGAGAACAAACCAGGAGCAGAAAGAGUGUGUGAGAAAGUGCACCAGAGGCCAAAAGAAGUAACAGACAGAAACUCGAAGAAACUCCAACAAAAAGAUGGCUAUUGGCAGGAACUCCAGGAUGAGCUCAGUCCGAAGCUCCAUCAGGGCCCCAAAGUUUCUGGACAAAUCGAGUGGCUUCUAUGGUCGCCUCGACGAGCCCGAGGCCGCCACAGAGGUAGAGGAGACUGGUGUAAAUGUUUGCAACAUAGAGGAGGCAGUCUCGAGUGACCCAUCCAUCACAGCGGUGCAUUGUUCUGAUGAGAAGGAAGAAGGCGAGGUGUUUGGCUUCAGCGAAGGCAUGAUGGAAGAUGACGACGAGAGCCUCCUGAGGAGGAAACCCAGCCGCCGCAGCAGCAGGUGGAGGAGAAGCUCCAGGAGGAAGCAGAAAGAGGGGAGAGCAGACGAGGACGCAGCCAGAGAGGAGAGGCCCAGCCUGGGCACGGAGGGUCCAGCUGACUUCCCCGAGGACAUCAGGGUGAAGAUUGAGAUAGAGAUGGAGAACCUGAAGAAGGUGGAGGAAGAAAAUGAAAAGGCGGGCUGGGAGAAGGAACCCGUGCUCGUUCACUUCCCGGCUCGGGAGGACGCUGACGACCAAGUCCUUAUCCGAGACAAGAAGAGAGGAAGAGAAGACGAAGAGGAGGAGGAGAGGAGGAUGACGAAGGAGCAAGAGGAAGGGAUGAAAGUGGUGAAGAGGAAAAAUUACCGCAAGGCCUUGGACCGAGCACUGCGCCGCGGCUGGGAGGCCUUCGUCGCCAACCUCUACAGCGUCACGCUCUCACCGGUGAACUCCUCGCCAUCGUCGUCUUCACCGUCGUCGAAGAAGAAGCACCAGCACAAUUCAGUGUUAGCAGAAUUUCAAUAGAAAUGGAGAUAGAGAUGGACAAUGAAGCUUGAGGCUUCUUAACUUUUAAUAAUAUCAGGGUCAUGCAGCGUUUUACCGCGACUGCUGCAAAGUAUCGGACAAUCCUGCCUGUAUAACAUUUACCACAUGACGUGUCUGAGUCAUCACCUCAGGAAUAUUAAUCAAUUAUGUAACUUACUGAGUCUUGAUUACUCAGCUGAACCUUUAUCGCCUUAUUAGGAUGCACCUUAGUCAGGACACAAACUGCAGGGAUCCACUUUAGCUCGAUGGGCUGCUGGUUUUACAGUGAAGUCUAUGAGACUGGCCUGAACAGAAAUCCCUGGUCUUUAUGUGACUGAGUUCAGCAGCUGCUCGUCCCCUUCUGAUCUCCAGUUUUAGUCAAGUAAGAGCAUUUUAGCUCUUAAUAUCCAGUUCGUUACUAAGAGCUCGCAGUGCAAAUGAUCUCUGCUUCCUUUGGUUUAGCGCUGUGAAACUCCUCGAGUGUUGAUGUGUAACCAAAGGGGGUGGAAAGUUUAAAACGUAGCAGCUGACUGAUGGACUUUAGCUGUGGAGUAAUACAUACUUCUGUAGGAUUAACCGUGGUGCUCGUUGCCUAAUCAGACAAGCUAUUUAUGAGUAAAUAGUAUGCAGUAAAUCAGUAAUUAAACUUUAUUAGGGAUUCACAUUAUUAUGGACACAUUCUAUUAUUUAUGUAGGCUUUAUUGCAAGUGAAAAAGACGGACAGGGUCCAACCUUGUGCAAAGGAAUAUGUAAGAGUUUCUAUUAGAGCUUUUUAGCUUUUUCCUCAUGAGGUCCCUGCGUGUGUUCUAGUGAAGGUUAUUAAACCUGAAGGGACAGAGCAGGGAGGUGUAAGCUUAGAUGUCCGUCCAGAAAAAGAUAAUGCUUAUUUUUGGUCAAAAAAGUCAUAUUAAAUAGUGCAUAUUUUCUCUAUUUGAAUGCAAAGUUGUGUCUUUUUUAUGUGUUUGAUUUGUAAAACUGACGACUGUAUUUAAGAACUAUUAAUAAUGGACGUUUGUAGAUGUGACAAAAAUGCAAUAAAUGGUCUUUAAUUUUCAAA